UUACACGACCGUACCGCAAACCGACACUGGUGCGCGAGAUGAGUAUUCUAAGGCGCUUGAGAGAACUCAGGAGAAGGAACUCGGCAAAUUGACACCGUAACUUCGGAAGAAGGUGUGCCUUUAGUAGGUGAACCUGUACAAGGGGAGCCCAAUGAGGUUGCAAAAAAUCGGUGGCUGCGACUGUUUAAUAAAAACACAGCACUCUGCAAACACGAAAGUGGACGUAUAGGGUGUGACGCCUGCCCGGUGCUGGAAGAUUAAAUGAUGGGGUGCAAGCUCUUGAUUGAAGUCCCAGUAAACGGCGGCCGUAACAAUAACGGUCCUAAGGUAGCGAAAUUCCUUGUCGGGUAAGUUCCGACCUGCACGAAUGGCGUAACGAUGGCACACUGUCUCCUCCUGAGACUCAGCGAAGUUGAAAUGUUUGUGAUGAUGCAAUCUCCCCGCGGAAAGACGGAAAGACCCCAUGAACCUUUACUGUAGCUUUGUAUUGGACUUUGAACAGAUCUGUGUAGGAUAGGUGGGAGGCUUUGAAGUGUGGUCGCUAGAUCGCAUGGAGCCAACGUUGAAAUACCACCCUGGUGUGUUUGAGGUUCUAACCUAGGCCCGUAAUCCGGGUCGGGGACAGUGCAUGGUAGGCAGUUUGACUGGGGCGGUCUCCUCCCAAAGCGUAACGGAGGAGUUCGAAGGUACGCUAGGUACGGUCGGACAUCGUGCUAAUAGUGCAAUGGCAUAAGCGUGCUUAACUGCGAGACUGACAAGUCGAGCAGAUGCGAAAGCAGGACAUAGUGAUCCGGUGGUUCUGUAUGGAAGGGCCAUCGCUCAACGGAUAAAAGGUACUCUGGGGAUAACAGGCUGAUACCGCCCAAGAGUUCAUAUCGACGGCGGUGUUUGGCACCUCGAUGUCGGCUCAUCUCAUCCUGGGGCUGUAGCCGGUCCCAAGGGUAUGGCUGUUCGCCAUUUAAAGAGGUACGUGAGCUGGGUUUAAAACGUCGUGAGACAGUUUGGUCCCUAUCUUCCGUGGGCGCUGCAGAUUUGAGGAAGCCUGCUCCUAGUACGAGAGGACCGGAGUGGACACACCUCUGGUGUAUCGGUUGUCACGCCAGUGGCAUUGCCGAGUAGCUAUGUGUGGAAGAGAUAACCGCUAAAAGCAUCUAAGCGGGAAACUCGUUUCAAGAUGAGAUCUGCCGGGGCCUUGAGCCCCCUAAAGAGUCGUUCAAGACCAGGACGUUGAUAGGUCGGGUGUGGAAGCGCAGUAAUGCGUUAAGCUAACCGAUACUAAUUGCUCGUGCGGCUUGACCAG
RNAcentral lists this ribosomal RNA (1300 nucleotides) under metagenome. RNAcentral's name for it is "bacterial LSU rRNA". It matches the Rfam family "Bacterial large subunit ribosomal RNA", at positions 1634 to 2925 of the family's 2925-position model. The record is from RNAcentral.